UACAGAUCUCCUGGGAAGGGCUUCCCUCU
Molecule: non-coding RNA, 29 nt
Filed under: Homo sapiens (human)
Lineage: Eukaryota; Metazoa; Chordata; Mammalia; Primates; Hominidae
Source: RNAcentral